This 468-nucleotide ribosomal RNA is filed under the name uncultured bacterium. RNAcentral describes it as "partial 16S ribosomal RNA". It matches the Rfam family "Bacterial small subunit ribosomal RNA", at positions 28 to 507 of the family's 1533-position model. The record is from RNAcentral.
GACGAACGCUGGCGGCGUGCUUAACACAUGCAAGUCGAACGGAAAGGCCCUGCUUUUGUGGGGUGCUCGAGUGGCGAACGGGUGAGUAACACGUGAGUAACCUGCCCUUGACUUUGGGAUAACUUCAGGAAACUGGGGCUCAUACCGGAUAGGAGCUCCUGCUGCAUGGUGGGGGUUGGAAAGUUUCGGCGGUUGGGGAUGGACUCGCGGCUUAUCAGCUUGUUGGUGGGGUAGUGGCUUACCAAGGCUUUGACGGGUAGCCGGCCUGGGAGGGUGACCGGCCACAUUGGGACUGAGAUACGGCCCAGAAUCCUACGGGAGGCAGCAGGGGGGAAUAUUGCACAAUGGGCGGAAGCCUGAUGCAGCAACGCCGCGGGCGGGAUGACGGCCUUCGGGGUGUAAACCGCUUUCGCCUGUGACGAAGCGUGAGUGACGGUAAUGGGUAAAGAAGCACCGGCUAACUACGUG